GGCGCCUUAGCUCAGUCUGGUAGCAGCAGUCGGCCGAUAACCGACAGGCCCUAGGUUCGAAUCCUAGAGGCGCCACCA
This 78-nucleotide transfer RNA is filed under the name Nitrosomonadaceae bacterium. RNAcentral's name for it is "tRNA-Ile". It matches the Rfam family "tRNA". Rfam says of the family: Transfer RNA (tRNA) molecules are approximately 80 nucleotides in length. Their secondary structure includes four short double-helical elements and three loops (D, anti-codon, and T loops). The record is from RNAcentral. Lineage: Bacteria; Pseudomonadati; Pseudomonadota; Betaproteobacteria; Nitrosomonadales; Nitrosomonadaceae.